GACGAACGCUGGCGGCGUGCUUAACACAUGCAAGUCGAACGGUGAAGCGCCUUCCUUUUUGGUGGGUGUGGAUGAGUGGCGAACGGGUGAGUAACACGUGAGUAACCUGCCCCCUUCUUCUGGAUAACCGCAUGAAAGUGUGGCUAAUACGGGAUAUUCUGGGUCUGUCGCAUGAUGGGUCUGGGAAAGAUUUUGUUUCGGUGGGGGAUGGGCUCGCGGCCUAUCAGCUUGUUGGUGGGGUGAUGGCCUACCAAGGCGGUGACGGGUAGCCGGCCUGAGAGGGUGGGCGGUCACACUGGGACGGAGACACGGACCAGACUCCUACAGGAGGCAGCAGGGGGGAAUAGUGCACAGUGGGCGCAAGCCUGAUGCAGCGACGCCGCGGGAGGGAUGGAGGCCUGCGGGUUGUGAACCUCUUUCGCCAGUGAAGCAGGCCUGCCUCGUUUGUGGGUGGGUUGACGGUAGCUGGAGAAGAAGCGCCGGCUAACUACGUG
This 494-nucleotide ribosomal RNA is filed under the name uncultured bacterium. Its description in RNAcentral is "partial 16S ribosomal RNA". It matches the Rfam family "Bacterial small subunit ribosomal RNA", at positions 28 to 507 of the family's 1533-position model. The record is from RNAcentral.